CGGAGAAUGUUAUCACGGGAGACACACGGCGGGUGCUAACGUCCGUCGUGAAGAGGGAAACAACCCAGACCGCCAGCUAAGGUCCCAAAGUCAUGGUUAAGUGGGAAACGAUGUGGGAAGGCCCAGACAGCCAGGAUGUUGGCUUAGAAGCAGCCAUCAUUUAAAGAAAGCGUAAUAGCUCACUGGUCGAGUCGGCCUGCGCGGAAGAUGUAACGGGGCUAAACCAUGCACCGAAGCUGCGGCAGCGACACUGUGUGUUGUUGGGUAGGGGAGCGUUCUGUAAGCCUGUGAAGGUGUGUCGUGAGGCAUGCUGGAGGUAUCAGAAGUGCGAAUGCUGACAUAAGUAACGAUAAAGCGGGUGAAAAGCCCGCUCGCCGGAAGACCAAGGGUUCCUGUCCAACGUUAAUCGGGGCAGGGUGAGUCGACCCCUAAGGCGAGGCCGAAAGGCGUAGUCGAUGGGAAACGGGUUAAUAUUCCCGUACUUGGUGUUACUGCGAAGGGGGGACGGAGAAGGCUAUGUUGGCCGGGCGACGGUUGUCCCGGUUUAAGCGUGUAGG
This 557-nucleotide ribosomal RNA is filed under the name Salmonella enterica subsp. enterica serovar Senftenberg. Its description in RNAcentral is "partial 23S ribosomal RNA". It matches the Rfam family "Bacterial large subunit ribosomal RNA", at positions 963 to 1524 of the family's 2925-position model. Lineage: Bacteria; Pseudomonadati; Pseudomonadota; Gammaproteobacteria; Enterobacterales; Enterobacteriaceae. The record is from RNAcentral. RNAcentral also lists the same sequence under 1 other name.